UUUGCACGGUUACGCGUGCGGUCGGGCGCUUCGUCGGCACGAAAAUAGCCUGGAGGUGGGGUUUAGGGGGUUAGGGAUGGGCUGGUUUUAGCUUCGAAGGUGGUUUGCGGGCCUCGGGGGGGAGCACUCCGUCGGGCCUAGCUUAACGCCGGCAGAGCUAGUAGACGAGCUAAGCUGCGGCGGCCUGCUAAACCCGCGCCUUAGGCCUCCCCCCUUAGAAACGCGCGCCCGCCUCCGCUAGCUCCCCUCGUCAGUACUCGCUCCACAAGCUCCCGAUGCUCGCGGUCAUGACGCUCCUUAGGCGGAGGGAGAGGGCGUUCACGUGGCAGCGGAGGCGGGAGCUACCUCUCUUCUUCUUCGUCUCCGAGAGGCUCUAGGUCAGGCCGCACGUCCUUCGACUUAGCGACUAAGCCUCCUACCUGGACCUCCGAUCCUUAUGCGGCGGAUCGCACUUUCGCCCAAACGAUCGAUUCGACGCCCUCAUGUUUAGACUGGAAUUGUUGGAGUUCUCGCUCGAGUUCUCCUAGAGCCGCGGAUUACGGUCCGUUUGAUGGUUCCUCCUCGAGGAACUUAGACCGUACCGACUGUGUGAGCGCCACAGGUGACUAGUCGCUCCUUCCAACUACUACUGUUGACUUUCUGACUUAGUCAGGUGACUGUCUUAAUUUCUCUCGGCUUCUUGAUACGACCUCUGUCUUCUUGAACCACACAGCUAAGAAGUCCUGGAAGUAGUUGUUGCCGUCAGUGAUGACGUACGAGUGCUAUGAAACGUACCCCAACUACUAUUGCAACCUUUCUCAUUCUUUUAGGACAGCCGUUACAGUUUCUCCUACCUGUCCUUGUUCACCUAGUAACCACCUUAGUAAAGUCGAGAACAACACCGGUAGGAAUAGUAUGAGAUGAAAUUCGAGCGAGUGACUCGGUCGGUCAAGUAACCAAGGGAUAUUUGUAAAAAUUUAUAACCUACUCACCAAGUAACCGUACAGUACAUAUCGUUGUGAGCACACUCCUCCAGUCAACACGGGCUGGUAAAAUACUACAUUUUGACAAGUCUUUUUGUUUUCACCUUUUCUUCUACAGGACACAACUAUAUGAUGAUGGACGAACGUAUACAAUAUAUGUGUAAGCUCCAGCGAAC
This 1138-nucleotide ribosomal RNA is filed under the name Triticum aestivum (bread wheat). Its description in RNAcentral is "partial small subunit ribosomal RNA". Lineage: Eukaryota; Viridiplantae; Streptophyta; Magnoliopsida; Poales; Poaceae. The record is from RNAcentral.